UUCUGAGAGAAGCACUGCUUUACAACAAAUACUUCUUUGUAUUGCCAACUCCAGCUGCUCUGAUGUCAACAAGGCCUAUUUCCUCCUCAGGAGCUGCCUGGUGAGAAGCUGAAUGACAAGUGAGCUGCUGGAUAUAUGUUAGAGAGGAAGUAGAACAAAUAAGGCUGUAUCGCCAUCUGGAGGAUAAGGAUGUCCUGUCCGUGCAUUCUGCAGGCGUCGUCCCAGGCUACAUCUCAUUCCCCAGGGAGAAGACUUCAAUCAUAAAGAGUCUGGAAACAUCCCGUGAAAAACAACUGUUUGUCUGUCCGGCAUCUUCUGAAGAAGACCACUUUCCUGUGUAUGCCAAACCAUCUAAGACAGUGAGGAUUUGAUGCAUCCUAAAAGAACAGAAUGUCUUGUUCAUUUACAUACAGUAAACACAUGUUUCAUCCAAACACGAUUGUGAAAUAGUUUUGAAAUCUUUCUUUCAUUGCACUUAUGAGACUGUUGGCUAGCAAGAGUCCCAGAAGGUUGAAUUGUCUCUUGUUUACACGGCAGGACCAAAUUACCAAAAAAUACCUGUCAGCAAGGUCUUGUGUCUUUUGUUUCUUGAGCACUUGAUUUCUGUUGAACUACUACUUCUAAGUAUAAGUCUCAGACACCUUCAGGAUCCAUCCAGUAUAAACUCCUGCUUUAAAGGAGGACAGCUAGUUUGGCAUAUAUAGUGGUAGUAUGUCUUUAUCACCACAGUCUAGAUAAAAUUUAGAAACUGGAAACACUUCUGUCUAGCAGUCAUAAUUCUGUCUUCGUUUUUCUGGCACCAGCUUCGCUUGCUCUUUCUUUUGAUUCAUUCUGCAUUUUCUUCUCCAAAUAUUUUCUUUGACUGAGUACCUAUAGUACUAAUGCUUGGCAUGCCGAGU
This 899-nucleotide long non-coding RNA is filed under the name Numida meleagris (helmeted guineafowl). RNAcentral's name for it is "lncRNA (ENSNMEG00000005821.1)". Lineage: Eukaryota; Metazoa; Chordata; Aves; Galliformes; Numididae. The record is from RNAcentral.